Molecule: long non-coding RNA, 283 nt
Organism: Drosophila rhopaloa
Lineage: Eukaryota; Metazoa; Arthropoda; Insecta; Diptera; Drosophilidae
Exons: 2
Source: RefSeq, a predicted model, not a curated record
ACUGCCUCAGUUGUCUGUGUGUGUGUGUAUUGUAUGCAUGUGAUGUAAGGUCAUUCGCGUGAAAAUAUCAGCGAGGAAAAAAUCGAAUUUUUGUGUUUUGUGUGCUAGCAUAAAAUUAAAACCGAACGAAAGACACAUCAAAAAGUAUAAGACGAAAAAGAAGAGGAAGCGCAGAAAAGUGCCUUCAAACGAAAAUAAAUACAAAAUGAGAAUUUUCUUUAAUAUUUUAUUUGCGAAAAUAGCUUCAUGAAUUAAGAACAAAAUAGAAAAGCGAGAAGAAAAA